GGGCGGUUAGCUCAGUUGGUUAGAGCGCCACGUUGACAUCGUGGAGGUCACAGGUUCGAGUCCUGUAUCGCCCA
RNAcentral lists this transfer RNA (74 nucleotides) under Chloroflexota bacterium. RNAcentral's name for it is "Chloroflexi bacterium (bioreactor metagenome) tRNA-Val". It matches the Rfam family "tRNA". From Rfam's summary of the family: Transfer RNA (tRNA) molecules are approximately 80 nucleotides in length. Their secondary structure includes four short double-helical elements and three loops (D, anti-codon, and T loops). RNAcentral also lists the same sequence under 1 other name. The record is from RNAcentral. Lineage: Bacteria; Bacillati; Chloroflexota.